Molecule: ribosomal RNA, 1187 nt
Filed under: Leuconostoc carnosum
Lineage: Bacteria; Bacillati; Bacillota; Bacilli; Lactobacillales; Lactobacillaceae
Description: bacterial SSU rRNA
Rfam family: Bacterial small subunit ribosomal RNA
Source: RNAcentral
AAUGAUGCAUAGCCGAGUUGAAAGACUGAUUGGCCACAUUGGGACUGAGACACGGCCCAAAUUCCUACGGGAGGCUGCAGUAGGGAAUCUUCCACAAUGGGCGAAAGCCUGAUGGAGCAACGCCGCGUGUGUGAUGAAGGCUUUCGGGUCGUAAAGCACUGUUGUAUGGGAAGAAAAGUUAAGGUAGGGAAUGACCUUAGCCUGACGGUACCAUACCAGAAAGGGACGGCUAAAUACGUGCCAGCAGCCGCGGUAAUACGUAUGUCCCGAGCGUUAUCCGGAUUUAUUGGGCGUAAAGCGAGCGCAGACGGUUGGUUAAGUCUGAUGUGAAAGCCCGGAGCUCAACUCCGGAAAGGCAUUGGAAACUGGUUAACUUGAGUGCAGUAGAGGUAAGUGGAACUCCAUGUGUAGCGGUGGAAUGCGUAGAUAUAUGGAAGAACACCAGCGGCGAAGGCGGCUUACUGGACUGUAACUGACGUUGAGGCUCGAAAGUGUGGGUAGCAAACAGGAUUAGAUACCCUGGUAGUCCACACCGUAAACGAUGAACACUAGGUGUUAGGAGGUUUCCGCCUCUUAGUGCCGAAGCUAACGCAUUAAGUGUUCCGCCUGGGGAGUACGACCGCAAGGUUGAAACUCAAAGGAAUUGACGGGGACCCGCACAAGCGGUGGAGCAUGUGGUUUAAUUCGAAGCAACGCGAAGAACCUUACCAGGUCUUGACAUCCUUUGAAGCUUUUAGAAAUAGAAGUGUUCUCUUCGGAGACAAAGUGACAGGUGGUGCAUGGUCGUCGUCAGCUCGUGUCGUGAGAUGUUGGGUUAAGUCCCGCAACGAGCGCAACCCUUAUUGUUAGUUGCCAGCAUUCAGAUGGGCACUCUAGCGAGACUGCCGGUGACAAACCGGAGGAAGGCGGGGACGACGUCAGAUCAUCAUGCCCCUUAUGACCUGGGCUACACACGUGCUACAAUGGCGUAUACAACGAGUUGCCAACCUGCGAAGGUGAGCUAAUCUCUUAAAGUACGUCUCAGUUCGGACUGCAGUCUGCAACUCGACUGCACGAAGUCGGAAUCGCUAGUAAUCGCGGAUCAGCACGCCGCGGUGAAUACGUUCCCGGGUCUUGUACACACCGCCCGUCACACCAUGGAAGUUUGUAAUGCCCAAAGCCGGUGGCCUAACCGUAAGGAGGGAACC